ACGGGGGCCCGCACAAGCGGUGGAGUAUGUGGUUUAAUUCGACGCAACGCGCAGAACCUUUACCUGGUCUUGACAUCCCGGGAAUCUUGUGGAAACACGAGAGUGCCUCGCAAGAGGAGCCUGGAGACAGGUGCUGCAUGGCUGUCGUCAGCUCGUGUCGUGAGAUGUUGGGUUAAGUCCCGCAACGAGCGCAACCCUUGUCAUUAGUUGCUACAUUCAGUUGGGCACUCUAAUGAGACUGCCGGUGACAAGCCGGAGGAAGGUGGGGAUGACGUCAAGUCCUCAUGGCCCUUAUAGGUGGGGCUACACACGUCAUACAAUGGCUGGUACAAAGGGUUGCCAACCCGCGAGGGGGAGCCAAUCCCAUAAAGCCAGUCGUAGUCCGGAUCGUAGUCUGCAACUCGACUACGUGAAGUCGGAAUCGCUAGUAAUCGUGGAUCAGAAUGUCACGGUGAAUACGUUCCCGGGUCUU
This 472-nucleotide ribosomal RNA is filed under the name uncultured Rhodoferax sp. Its description in RNAcentral is "bacterial SSU rRNA". It matches the Rfam family "Bacterial small subunit ribosomal RNA", at positions 913 to 1382 of the family's 1533-position model. Lineage: Bacteria; Pseudomonadati; Pseudomonadota; Betaproteobacteria; Burkholderiales; Comamonadaceae. The record is from RNAcentral.